This 274-nucleotide ribosomal RNA is filed under the name uncultured bacterium. RNAcentral describes it as "partial 16S ribosomal RNA". It matches the Rfam family "Bacterial small subunit ribosomal RNA", at positions 523 to 796 of the family's 1533-position model. The record is from RNAcentral.
AUACAGAGGGUGCGAGCGUUAAUCGGAAUUACUGGGCGUAAAGCGCGCGUAGGCGGCUUAUUAAGUCAGAUGUGAAAUCCCCGGGCUCAACCUGGGAACUGCAUCUGAUACUGGUAAGCUAGAGUUUUGGAGAGGGAAGUAGAAUUUCAGGUGUAGCGGUGAAAUGCAUAGAGAUCUGAAGGAAUACCAGUGGCGAAGGCGACUUCCUGGCCAAAAACAGACGCUGAGGUGCGAAAGCGUGGGUAGCAAACGGGAUUAGAAACCCGAGUAGUCC